UCCUAUAUUCGCAUUUCCAAUAGUUCCAGUAUAUCCAUUAAUCAUAUUGGUCGUCUCGAAGUUUUUUAAAUCAUUUAUCAAUUCUUGAUAUCUUUUUGUACCAAAACAUUAGAUGAAUUAAUGUCUAUUGGAUAAUUGUGUGAAAAGGGCCCUUAUGUUAUUUCCUCAUUUUCUGGAUGUGUCAUAUGGGAUCAAUCAAUGGGGAAGCAAG
This 211-nucleotide long non-coding RNA is filed under the name Elaeis guineensis (African oil palm). RNAcentral describes it as "long non-coding RNA (EGUI_LNC012315)". Lineage: Eukaryota; Viridiplantae; Streptophyta; Magnoliopsida; Arecales; Arecaceae. The record is from RNAcentral.